CUACAUGAAGCUGGAAUCGCUAGUAAUCGCGGAUCAGAAUGCCGCGGUGAAUACGUUCCCGGGUCUUGUACACACCGCCCGUCACACCAUGGGAGUCGGAAAUGCCCGAAGUCUGUGACCCAACCUUAGGGAGGGAGCAGCCGAAGGCAGGUCGGAUGACUGGGGUGAAGUCGUAACAAGGUACC
This 185-nucleotide ribosomal RNA is filed under the name uncultured bacterium. RNAcentral's name for it is "partial 16S ribosomal RNA". It matches the Rfam family "Bacterial small subunit ribosomal RNA", at positions 1316 to 1500 of the family's 1533-position model. The record is from RNAcentral.